CCUACGGGUGGCAGCAGUGGGGAAUAUUGCACAAUGGGGGAAACCCUGAUGCAGCGACGCCGCGUGAAGGAAGAAGUAUUUCGGUAUGUAAACUUCUAUCAGCAGGGAAGAAAAUGCCGGUGCCUGACUAAGAAGCCCCGGCUAACUACGUGCCAGCAGCCGCGGUAAUACGUAGGGGGCAAGCGUUAUCCGGAUUUACUGGGUGUAAAGGGAGCGUAGGCGGUUUAGCAAGUCAGAAGUGAAAGCCCGGGGCUCAACUCCGGGACUGCUUUUGAAACUGUUGGACUAGAGUGCAGGAGAGGUAAGUGGAAUUCCUGGUGUAGCGGUGAAAUGCGUAGAUAUUAGGAGGAACACCAGUGGCGAAGGCGGCUUACUGGACUGUAAAUGACGCUGAGGCUCGAAAGCGUGGGGAGCAAACAGGAUUAGAUACCCGUGUAGUC
Molecule: ribosomal RNA, 440 nt
Filed under: uncultured bacterium
Lineage: Bacteria
Description: partial 16S ribosomal RNA
Rfam family: Bacterial small subunit ribosomal RNA
Source: RNAcentral